This 401-nucleotide ribosomal RNA is filed under the name uncultured bacterium. RNAcentral's name for it is "bacterial SSU rRNA". It matches the Rfam family "Bacterial small subunit ribosomal RNA", at positions 28 to 416 of the family's 1533-position model. The record is from RNAcentral.
GACGAACGCUGGCGGCGUGCUUAACACAUGCAAGUCGAACGCGAAAGCCCCGCAAGGGGUGAGUAGAGUGGCAAACGGGUGAGUAACACGUGGGUGACCUGCCUUCGAGUGGGGGAUAACGUCCCGAAAGGGACGCUAAUACCGCAUAACAUCCUGCCUUUUAAGAGGUGGACAUCAAAGCUGGGGAUCGCAAGACCUAGCGCUUGAAGAGGGGCCCGCGCCUGAUUAGCUAGNGGUGGGGUAAGUGGCUCACCAAGGCAACGAUCAGUAUCCGGCCUGAGAGGGCGGACGGACACACUGGGACUGAGACACGGCCCAGACUCCUACGGGAGGCAGCAGUGGGGAAUUGUUCGCAAUGGGCGCAAGCCUGACGACGCAACGCCGCGUGGAGGACGAAGACC